This is a long non-coding RNA of Oncorhynchus tshawytscha (Chinook salmon), 250 nucleotides long. The record is from Ensembl. Lineage: Eukaryota; Metazoa; Chordata; Actinopteri; Salmoniformes; Salmonidae.
CUAUUUUCAAGGAGGGAGGAAACAUCGUUAGAUAAGCUGCUGGUGAGCUGGGUUUUGAACCAAACACACACUCCUGUUCAUCCCGGUGGAGCAGCUCUACUGAUCCAGGGACCAGACUGGCUGCAGCAGAGUCCCAGGAUCCUGCCCACCUGCCAUGGUUGAAGACAAUCCUUUUCCCGCCUUCCGUUGCAGAGAUGCUCUCUUUCCUCCCCGUGUUUGACAAUCAGAGAGCCGAGACUCGUAAAGUCCC